Molecule: ribosomal RNA, 480 nt
Filed under: uncultured bacterium
Lineage: Bacteria
Description: bacterial SSU rRNA
Rfam family: Bacterial small subunit ribosomal RNA
Source: RNAcentral
GAUAAACGCUGGCGGCGUACAUAAGACAUGCAAGUCGAACGAGCAGAAGCUAAAAGAUUUAUCUCUUAGUGGAGCUAGUGGCGGAUGGGUGAGUAACACGUAAGCAACCUACCUAGCAGAGGGGAAUAACAGUGAGAAAUCAUUGCUAAUACCGCAUACCUUGUAGAGAAGGCAUCUUCAUUACAAGAAAAGNGUAAUCUGCUGUUAGAUGGGCUUGCGCCUGAUUAGCUAGUUGGUGAGAUAAAAGCUCACCAAGGCGACGAUCAGUAGCCGGACUGAGAGGUUGAACGGCCACAUUGGGACUGAGACACGGCCCAAACUCCUACGGGAGGCAGCAGUCGGGAAUAUUGCACAAUGGAGGGAACUCUGAUGCAGUGACGCCGCGUAUAGGAGAAGGUUUUCGGAUUGUAAACUAUGUCAUGUGGAAGAAAAUGACGGUACCACAAGAGGAAGCCCCGGGCUAAAUAUGUGCCAGCAGCC